AUUGAACGCUGGCGGCAUGCCUUACACAUGCAAGUCGAACGGUAACGGGCCUUCGGGUGCCGACGAGUGGCGCACGGGUGCGUAAUACAUCGGAACGUGCCCGAUCGUGGGGGAUAACGAGGCGAAAGCUUUGCUAAUACCGCAUACGAUCUACGGAUGCAAGCCGGGGACCGCAAGGCCUUGCGCGGACGGAGCGGCCGAUGGCAGAUUAGGUAGUUGGUGGGAUAAAAGCUUACCAAGCCGACGAUCUGUAGCUGGUCUGAGAGGAUGAUCAGCCACACUGGGACUGAGACACGGCCCAGACUCCUACGGGAGGCAGCAGUGGGGAAUUUUGGACAAUGGGCGCAAGCCUGAUCCAGCCAUGCCGCGUGCAGGAUGAAGGCCUUCGGGUUGUAAACUGCUUUUGUACGGAACGAAAAGCCUUCUUUUAAUACAGGAGGGUCAUGACGGUACCGUAAGAAUAAGCACCGGCUAACUACGUG
Molecule: ribosomal RNA, 482 nt
Filed under: uncultured bacterium
Lineage: Bacteria
Description: partial 16S ribosomal RNA
Rfam family: Bacterial small subunit ribosomal RNA
Source: RNAcentral